AUCUGUUCUUCUAUCUUCUCACUCAAUUGUGUGGUUUCAAUUUCUUGCUCGGAAGCCAAUGUCGUGGUAGAAGUUUGAAGACUUUGAGAUAAGCAUUCGGAUGAUGUUUCAGGCACAGCUUUGGCUUGUUCAACUUCAUUCACUUCUGGUUCCAAGGCUGAUUCUGUUUUCUCCAGUUCAUGUUGUGGAUUUUCGACCUCUUUAGUCUCUUGAUUAGCAUCACUCUCACAAGUUUCUAGACUCGUCUUGACUGAGCUCAAAUUCGCAAGCUCCUCAUUCACCUUGGUGUUGUCUAAGCUUGUCUCAACUCCGACUUCUGUCAAAAUUUCGUGACUCUUGUCUUGACAAUCAUGCUUGGAUUCAUCAACAAUGUCCUUAAUUUUUUCUUCUGAUUCUGCGUCUUUGGUGCCUGUACUUACAGGGUCUCCAGACUCUUGAUCCUGUCUCCUAUCUUCCGAUUCUACGAUGACGGAUGCUUCUUGGUCCUUGAUUGAAUGAUCUUCAAACUCCAAGUUUUUCGCCUCUACCUGUUCCUUUGAUUCUCCUUCCUUCAGACAUUCUUUUGAGACGGAACUGUAGUCUUCCACCUAUCAAUACAUAGUUAAAAAGUUUCAAAAAUUAAAGAAAAUUUUAGAACAUCAUUAAAAAAGUCAUGAUGGAAUAAAAACAUGUUCUUUACCUCUUCAGACAAGAUGACAGCCUUGGUAACCUCAUAGGCAUUUUGUUCAACCUCGGGUUUGUCUGCCGGUUCCUCGUUUAUCUGUUUUUCACUUUCUUGGUUCUGAACCUCGGUAAUGGUUUCAUCGGCUUGGCUCUUGCUCAGUUCGGGGAUUGGUUUCUUACUUUGUCCUUCAUUAUCAUUCAU
This 865-nucleotide long non-coding RNA is filed under the name Gossypium barbadense (sea-island cotton). RNAcentral's name for it is "long non-coding RNA (GBAR_LNC015364)". The record is from RNAcentral. Lineage: Eukaryota; Viridiplantae; Streptophyta; Magnoliopsida; Malvales; Malvaceae.